This 497-nucleotide ribosomal RNA is filed under the name uncultured bacterium. Its description in RNAcentral is "partial 16S ribosomal RNA". It matches the Rfam family "Bacterial small subunit ribosomal RNA", at positions 28 to 507 of the family's 1533-position model. The record is from RNAcentral.
GAUGAACGCUGGCGGCGUGCCUAAUACAUGCAAGUCGAGCGAACAGACGAGGAGCUUGCUCCUUUGACGUUAGCGGCGGACGGGUGAGUAACACGUGGGUAACCUACCUAUAAGACUGGGAUAACUUCGGGAAACCGGAGCUAAUACCGGAUAAUAUUUCGAACCGCAUGGUUCGAUAGUGAAAGAUGGCUUUGCUAUCACUUAUAGAUGGACCUGCGCCGUAUUAGCUAGUUGGUAAGGUAACGGCUUACCAAGGCAACGAUACGUAGCCGACCUGAGAGGGGGAUCGGCCACACGGGAACUGAGACACGGUCCAGACUCCUACGGGAGGCAGCAGUAGGGAAUGUUCCGCAAUGGGCGAAAGCCUGACGGAGCAACGCCGCGUGAGUGAUGAAGGUCUUCGGAGCGUAAAACUCUGUUAUUAGGGAAGAACAAACGUGUAAGUAACUGUGCACGGCUUGACGGUACCUAAUCAGAAAGCCACGGCUAACUACGUG